UACGUAGGCGGUUCGGUAAGUCAGGUGUGAAAUCCCGGGGCUCAACCCCGGAACUGCACCCGAUACUGCCGGACUUGAGUAAUGGAGAGGCAGGUGGAAUUCUCGGUGUAGCAGUGAAAUGCGUGGAUAUCGAGAGGAAGACCAAUGACGAAGGCAGCCUGCUGGACAUUUACUGACGCUGAGGUACGAAGGCCAGGGGAGCGAAAG
This 207-nucleotide ribosomal RNA is filed under the name uncultured bacterium. RNAcentral's name for it is "partial 16S ribosomal RNA". It matches the Rfam family "Bacterial small subunit ribosomal RNA", at positions 568 to 774 of the family's 1533-position model. The record is from RNAcentral.